This is a non-coding RNA of Salvia hispanica, 1264 nucleotides long. The record is from RefSeq and is a predicted model, not a curated record. NCBI's taxonomy places the organism in Eukaryota, Viridiplantae, Streptophyta, Magnoliopsida, Lamiales, Lamiaceae.
UGAAGUACUCAAAAUUUACUCUGCGUUUAAACUCUCCACCGCCGGUCUCUCUCUCCUUGCUCCGCCGCCGCUCUCCGCAUUUCGGUAACGACCUACACAAUCGAACACCGCCGCCGCCGAUCUCCAGCGGCGAUCGAACACCAAUCCUCCACAUCUAACAAUCGAACACCAAGCCUCCUCAUUCUUCCGCCGAUCUCUACUAUUCUCCACAUCUGCACACAAUCGAACACCAAGCCUCCUCGUUCCCCCGCCGCUCUCUCCUUUUCUCCACCGCCGCAUACAAUCGAACACCAAGCCUCCUCGUUCCGCCGCCGCUCUCUCUCCGCUUUUUCCACCGCCGCCGCUCUCCACUAUUCUCCACCGCCUGUUGCUCUCAAGCUCCAAGGAUGUAUAUACAGUUCGCGAUUCAAUCACAGUAAUAAAUUUCGGUGAUUGUUGAGUCUAGUCUUCUGAAACAGUUUGUUGGGAAAGGAUUGGCUUAUUUCAUGGAUAGGGAUGAAUUUAGCUAGCACACAGCCCCAAACGCAACAAAUAGCUCAUAAUCUGGACUGCAUUUUUAGCUCUUUUCAUCUUCAUUUUGUUACUUUGUUUCAAUUUCGAAGAUCUUGGGCUUAUGUUGAUUUGGAAUACUUGUAGGUCUAUAUUGCAGCUACCGAGCAUUGUUCAUUGUAAGCUUCCUUUCCACGAAGGAUACAACAAGGUUGAUGUUGAUGCUGCUAAUAAGUAUGGUGUUGCUGUCGGAAAGUCACCGAGACUACAGCAGAGUUAGCAGCUUCACUCUCUUUAGCUGCAGCCAGAAGAAUUGUAGAAGUUGAUGAAUUCAUGAAGGGUGGCUUGUAUGAUGGAUGGCUUCCUCGUCCUUCGUCUACAAACUUUGGAGCAGGUCACAUUGGAUCUGCCUAUGCAAGAAUGAUGGUUGAAGGGUUCAAGAUGAACUUGAUCUACUUUGAUCUCUACCAGUCCACUCGUCUGGAGAAGUUCGUUACUGCCUAUGGGUACUUCCUCAAGGCGAAUGGAGAGGCGACGACGUAUCAUUUGGUGAAUAAGGAGAGGAUGGUGAAGAUGAAGAAGGCAAGUUGCAAUGGUGCGGGAGAAAGCGGAUACGUGUAUGGUUAGCCAUUUGAGAUGCAUAGCAAGGUUUCGCUGUUUUCGUCCAGGUCCCCGGGAUCAUGCUCUGUAUUCAAAUUCAUAUAUUUUUUGCAUUUCAAAUUCAAAUGCACUGUAAAAAAAUUUCAUCAAUAUAAUGUCAUUUCCAUUUAGUUUA